ACGAACGCUGGCGGCGUGCUUAACACAUGCAAGUCGAACGGUGAACGAGGGAGCUUGCUCCCUCCGGAUCAGUGGCGAACGGGUGAGUAACACGUGAGCAAUCUGCCCCGAACUCUGGGAUAAGCGUUGGAAACGACGUCUAAUACCGGAUACGACGCGGGAGGGCAUCCUCUCCGCGUGGAAAGAACUUCGGUUCGGGAUGAGCUCGCGGCCUAUCAGCUUGUUGGUGAGGUAACGGCUCACCAAGGCGACGACGGGUAGCCGGCCUGAGGGGGUGACCGGCCACACUGGGACUGAGACACGGCCCAGACUCCUACGGGAGGCAGCAGUGGGGAAUAUUGCACAAUGGGCGCAAGACUGAUGCAGCAACGCCGCGUGAGGGACGACGGCCUUCGGGUUGUAAACCUCUUUUAGCAGGGAAGAAGCGAAAGUGACGGUACCUGCAGAAAAAGCACCGGCUAACUACGUG
Molecule: ribosomal RNA, 469 nt
Filed under: uncultured bacterium
Lineage: Bacteria
Description: partial 16S ribosomal RNA
Rfam family: Bacterial small subunit ribosomal RNA
Source: RNAcentral